RNAcentral lists this ribosomal RNA (497 nucleotides) under uncultured bacterium. Its description in RNAcentral is "partial 16S ribosomal RNA". It matches the Rfam family "Bacterial small subunit ribosomal RNA", at positions 28 to 507 of the family's 1533-position model. The record is from RNAcentral.
GAUGAACGCUGGCGGCGUGCCUAAUACAUGCAAGUCGAGCGAACGGACGAGAAGCUUGCUUCUCUGAUGUUAGCGGCGGACGGGUGAGUAACACGUGGAUAACCUACCUAUAAGACUGGGAUAACUUCGGGAAACCGGAGCUAAUACCGGAUAAUAUUUUGAACCGCAUGGUUCAAAAGUGAAAGACGGUCUUGCUGUCACUUAUAGAUGGAUCCGCGCUGCAUUAGCUAGUUGGUAAGGUAACGGCUUACCAAGGCAACGAUGCAUAGCCGACCUGAGAGGGUGAUCGGCCACACUUGAACUGAGACACGGUCCAGACUCCUACGGGAGGAAGCAGUAGGGAAUCUUACGCAAUGGGCGAAAGCCUGACGGAGCAACGCCGCGUGAGUGAUGAAGGUCUUCGGAUCGUAAAACUCUGUUAUUAGGGAAGAACAUAUGUGUAAGUAACUGUGCACAUCUUGACGGUACCUAAUCAGAAACCCACGGCUAACUACGUG